GUUUGUGUAUUUAAAUAUAUGUGUGUAUGUCUGUGUGUGUGUGUAUAUAUAUAUAUAUAUAUAUAUACACACACACAGACAUACACAAACACACAUA
Molecule: non-coding RNA, 97 nt
Organism: Pelobates cultripes (western spadefoot toad)
Lineage: Eukaryota; Metazoa; Chordata; Amphibia; Anura; Pelobatidae
Source: the annotation of a GenBank genome assembly